This 498-nucleotide ribosomal RNA is filed under the name uncultured bacterium. RNAcentral's name for it is "bacterial SSU rRNA". It matches the Rfam family "Bacterial small subunit ribosomal RNA", at positions 28 to 517 of the family's 1533-position model. The record is from RNAcentral.
GAUGAACGCUAGCUACAGGCUUAACACAUGCAAGUCGAGGGGCAGCAUGUCGGUUGCUUGCAACCGAUGAUGGCGACCGGCGCACGGGUGAGUAACGCGUAUCCAACCUACCCUUGUCCAUCGGAUAACCCGUCGAAAGGCGGCCUAACACGAUAUGCGGUUCUCAGCAGGCAUCUAACGAGAACGAAAUGUGAAGGAGAAGGAUGGGGAUGCGUCUGAUUAGCUUGUUGGCGGGGUAACGGCCCACCAAGGCGACGAUCAGUAGGGGUUCUGAGAGGAAGGUCCCCCACAUUGGAACUGAGACACGGUCCAAACUCCUACGGGAGGCAGCAGUGAGGAAUAUUGGUCAAUGGACGGGAGUCUGAACCAGCCAAGUAGCGUGCAGGACGACGGCCCUAUGGGUUGUAAACUGCUUUUAUAGGGGGAUAAAGUGUGCCACGUGUGGCAUAUUGCAGGUACCCUAUGAAUAAGGACCGGCUAAUUCCGUGCCAGCAGCCG